AAGUUUUUGGGUUUUAAACAAGUUCACAAUUCAUUUUCGUAUGGCCAAAACAACACGCUCCUUGUGGGUCAAGGUUGUAGUUAUCCAGGUUACCUGUGGAAAAACCCACCCGCCAAAAGCAUCAGUUGUUCUUGUGGACAUCAAUUGAAGGUUCUAAUGUAAAUCAGACUCCAGUUCUGCUUCCUUUUGCAGUAAAAAGGAAAAGUGCCUUGUAGUUCUGGUG
This 223-nucleotide unclassified non-coding RNA is filed under the name Hevea brasiliensis (rubber tree). Lineage: Eukaryota; Viridiplantae; Streptophyta; Magnoliopsida; Malpighiales; Euphorbiaceae. The record is from RNAcentral.